GACGAACGCUGGCGGCGUGCUUAACACAUGCAAGUCGAACGGAAAGGCCCUGCUUUUGUGGUGUGCUCGAUUGGCGAACGUGUGAGUAACACGUGAGUAACCUGCCCUUGACUUUGGUAUAACUUCACGAAACUGGGGCUAAUACCUGAUAGGAUCUCCUGCUGCAUGGUGGGCUUUGGAAAGUUUCGGCGGUUGGGGAUGGACUCGCGGCUUAUCAGCUUGUUGGUUGGGUAGUUGCUUACCAAGGCUUUGACGGGUAGCCGGCCUGAGAGGGUGAACGGCCACAUUGGGACUGAGAGACGGCCCAGACGCCUACGGGAGGCAGCAGUGGGGAAUAUUGCACAAUGGGCGGAAGCCUGAUGCAGCAACGCCGCGUGCGGGAUGACGGCCUUCGGGUUGUAAACCGCUUUCGCCUGUGACGAAGCGUGAGUGACGGUAAUGGGUAAAGAAGCACCGGCUAACUACGUG
Molecule: ribosomal RNA, 468 nt
Filed under: uncultured bacterium
Lineage: Bacteria
Description: partial 16S ribosomal RNA
Rfam family: Bacterial small subunit ribosomal RNA
Source: RNAcentral